CACAUUUAGAAAUUCCAUUAUUAAUUAAAAAUUUAAAUUUAAAAUCAAUUUUAAUUAAAAUUUUAAUAUGGCAGAAUAAGUGCAUUGAACUUAAGAUUCAAAUAUAAAGUAUUUUUUAACUUUUAUUAAAAUUAAUAAAUUAAUAUAAAAUAUAAAUUAUAUUUAUUAAAAUUUAAUUUAUUAAAAUUUUCCACUUAAUUCAUUUUAAUUUAAAAAUAUAAUUAAAUAACAAUUUUUAAUAAAAUAAAUAAUUAAUUUUAUUUUUAUAUUGAAUUUUAAAUUCAAUCUUAAAGAUUUAAUCUUUUUAUUAAAAUUAAUAAAUUAAUAUAAAAAAUAAAACAAAAUAUAACAAAAUAUAUUUAUUAAAAUUUAAUUUAUUAAAAUUUCCCACUUAAUUCAUUUUAAUUUAAAAAUAAAUUAAAUAACAAUUUUUAAUAAAAUAAAUAAUUAAUUUUAUUUUUAUAUUGAAUUUUAAAUUCAAUCUUAAAGAUUUAAUCUUUUUAUUAAAAUUAAUAAAUUAAUAUAAAAAUAAAACAAAAUAUAACAAAAUAUAUUUAUUAAAAUUUAAUUUAUUAAAAUUUCCACAUGAUUCAUAUUUAU
RNAcentral lists this transfer RNA (600 nucleotides) under Apis mellifera (honey bee). RNAcentral describes it as "partial transfer RNA-Leu". The record is from RNAcentral. Lineage: Eukaryota; Metazoa; Arthropoda; Insecta; Hymenoptera; Apidae.